AGUGAACGCUGGCGGUAGGCCUAACACAUGCAAGUCGAACGGCAGCACAGUAAGAGCUUGCUCUUACGGGUGGCGAGUGGCGGACGGGUGAGGAAUACAUCGGAAUCUACUUUUUCGUGGGGGAUAACGUAGGGAAACUUACGCUAAUACCGCAUACGACCUACGGUUGAAAGCAGGGGAUCUUCGGACCUUGCGCGAUUGAAUGAGCCGAUGUCGGAUUAGCUAGUUGGCGGGGUAAAGGCCCACCCAGGCGACGAUCCGUAGCUGGUCUGAGAGGAUGAUCAGCCACACUGGAACUGAGACACGGUCCAGACUCCUACGGGAGGCCGCAGUGGGGAAUAUUGGACAAUGGGCGCAAGCCUGAUCCAGCCAUACCGCGUGGGUGAAGAAGGCCUUCGGGUUGUAAAGCCCUUUUGUUGGGAAAGAAAAGCAGCAGGUUAAUACCCCGCUGUUCUGACGGUACCCAAAGAAUAAGCACCGGCUAACUUCGUG
This 492-nucleotide ribosomal RNA is filed under the name uncultured bacterium. RNAcentral's name for it is "partial 16S ribosomal RNA". It matches the Rfam family "Bacterial small subunit ribosomal RNA", at positions 29 to 507 of the family's 1533-position model. The record is from RNAcentral.